AUUGAACGCUGGCGGCAUGCCUUACACAUGCAAGUCGAACGGUAACAGGUCUUCGGAUGCUGACGAGUGGCGAACGGGUGAGUAAUACAUCGGAACGUGCCUAGUAGUGGGGGAUAACUACUCGAAAGAGGGGCUAAUACCGCAUGAGAUCUACGGAUGAAAGCAGGGGAUCGCAAGACCUUGUGCUACUAGAGCGGCCGAUGGCAGAUUAGGUAGUUGGUGGGAUAAAAGCUUACCAAGCCGACGAGCUGUAGCUGGUCUGAGAGGACGAUCAGCGACACUGGGACUGAGACACGGCCCAGACUCCUACGGGAGGCAGCAGUUGGGAAUUUUGGACAAUGGGCGCAAGCCUGAUCCAGCAAUGCCGCGUGCAGGAUGAAGGCCUUCGGGUUGUAAACUGCUUUUGUACGGAACGAAAAGCCCCGGGUUAAUACCCUGGGGUCAUGACGGUACCGUAAGAAUAAGCACCGGCUAACUACGUGCCAGCCGCCGCAGUAA
This 498-nucleotide ribosomal RNA is filed under the name uncultured bacterium. RNAcentral describes it as "partial 16S ribosomal RNA". It matches the Rfam family "Bacterial small subunit ribosomal RNA", at positions 30 to 523 of the family's 1533-position model. The record is from RNAcentral.